Molecule: non-coding RNA, 643 nt
Organism: Microcebus murinus (gray mouse lemur)
Lineage: Eukaryota; Metazoa; Chordata; Mammalia; Primates; Cheirogaleidae
Source: RefSeq, a predicted model, not a curated record
UACAGAUUGGCUGGGCAUUUCCUCCACUGGUUUCAUCUAGAUUCACUCAUGAGGCUGAAUUAGCAAGAGGACCGAUCAGCUGGCCUGCAAAGACCGAGGUGGAAGAGUAAAUUGGUUCCUGUUUCUGCAUCUCAGCAGGAAGCAGAAGUUCUCCUUAUUUAGUUUUUCUUUUUUGGUUUACACUGGAUUCUUUAAGAUCAGAAUGAAAAAUAAAAGAAUCUUCCAGGAUCCUUCUAGGAAUUCACAAAGAGACUUCAGGUCAGUAAAGCCUGAACUUUCUCAUCUGACACCUGUUCAACUCUGAGGAUGCUGAUUAAUUCAUGGUGGAAAGGUGGCAGAGUGAGUUUCAGAUGCAAGAGGACAUCCUCAACAAAGAACUGCUGGUGCUAGGAGUUGGAAGUUGGGCCAAGUGGAAACCAGUGCUACCAAGGAGGUCAGAUGUUUAUUGGAUUCAGUUCGGUUUGUUGGAAGCAGAUCUUCAGAACAAGAAAGAAGGUAAUAAAAGAGAAACAUGAAGAUGACUAAAAGUUUGGGAAAUAUGAAUCAAGAUUAUUAGACUUAGCAGAGAGCUGGCUGGAUGGCAUUUAAGUAGAUAAUGGAUUCCUUUACAGAGCAUGAUCCUGGUCUAGGACAUAAUAGUCGC